RNAcentral lists this ribosomal RNA (253 nucleotides) under uncultured bacterium. RNAcentral describes it as "partial 16S ribosomal RNA". It matches the Rfam family "Bacterial small subunit ribosomal RNA", at positions 524 to 776 of the family's 1533-position model. The record is from RNAcentral.
UACGUAGGGUGCGAGCGUUGUCCGGAAUUAUUGGGCGUAAAGAGCUCGUAGGCGGUUUGUCGCGUCUGCUGUGAAAACCCGAGGCUCAACCUCGGGCCUGCAGUGGGUACGGGCAGACUAGAGUGCGGUAGGGGAGACUGGAAUUCCUGGUGUAGCGGUGGAAUGCGCAGAUAUCAGGAGGAACACCAAUGGCGAAGGCAGAUCUCUGGGCCGUAACUGACGCUGAGGAGCGAAAGCAUGGGGAGCGAACAGG